UUAAAUUGAAGAGUUUGAUCAUGGCUCAGAUUGAACGCUGGCGGCAGGCCUAACACAUGCAAGUCGAACGGUAACAGGAAGCAGCUUGCUGUUUUGCUGACGAGUGGCGGACGGGUGAGUAAUGUCUGGGAAACUGCCUGAUGGAGGGGGAUAACUACUGGAAACGGUAGCUAAUACCGCAUAACGUCGCAAGACCAAAGAGGGGGACCUUAGGGCCUCUUGCCAUCGGAUGUGCCCAGAUGGGAUUAGCUAGUAGGUGGGGUAACGGCUCACCUAGGC
This 279-nucleotide ribosomal RNA is filed under the name Escherichia coli. RNAcentral describes it as "partial 16S ribosomal RNA". It matches the Rfam family "Bacterial small subunit ribosomal RNA", at positions 1 to 274 of the family's 1533-position model. Lineage: Bacteria; Pseudomonadati; Pseudomonadota; Gammaproteobacteria; Enterobacterales; Enterobacteriaceae. The record is from RNAcentral.